AUGCAUCACUAACAGACCUGGAGCAGUUAAUGUCUGCUGCUAAGGUUUCCACUAUAGAUGCAAGAAAAAGAAGGUCCUCGUGCUUUCUGUCUGGUUGUGGCAGCCAAGAUUGCAUGGGGGAAUUUAGGA
RNAcentral lists this small nucleolar RNA (129 nucleotides) under Dasypus novemcinctus (nine-banded armadillo). RNAcentral describes it as "Small nucleolar RNA SNORA31 (ENSDNOG00000036929.1)". It matches the Rfam family "Small nucleolar RNA SNORA31". From Rfam's summary of the family: ACA31 (SNORA31) belongs to the H/ACA class of snoRNAs which are thought to guide the sites of modification of uridines to pseudouridines. Lineage: Eukaryota; Metazoa; Chordata; Mammalia; Cingulata; Dasypodidae. The record is from RNAcentral.